AGAGUUGAUCCUGGCUUAGAUUGAACGCUGGCGGCGUGCUAACACAUGCAAGUCGCGCGUGAAAGGACUUCGGUCCGAGUAAAGCGGCGCACGGGUGAGUAACGCGUGGAUGAUCUACCCAUGAGUUAGGAAUAACGGCUGGAAACGGUCGCUAAUACCAAAUACGCUCCGAUUUCAACUUCGGGGGAAAGGUGGCCUCUGCUUGCAAGCCACUGCUCAUGGAUGAGUCCGCGUCCCAUUAGCUAGUUGGUGGGGUAACGGCCCACCAAGGCGACGAUGGGUAGCCGGUCUGAGAGGAUGACCGGCCACACUGGGACUGGAACACGGCCCAGACUCCUACGGGAGGCAGCAGUGGGGAAUAUUGCGCAAUGGGCGAAAGCCUGACGCAGCGACGCCGCGUGAGGGGAAUGAAGGUCCUCGGAUCGUAAACCUCUGUCAGGAGGGAAGAACCGCCACGGUGCUAAUCAGCCGUGGUCUGACGGUACCUCCAAAGGAAGCACCGGCUAACUCCGUGCCAGCCGCCGC
RNAcentral lists this ribosomal RNA (525 nucleotides) under uncultured bacterium. RNAcentral describes it as "bacterial SSU rRNA". It matches the Rfam family "Bacterial small subunit ribosomal RNA", at positions 8 to 518 of the family's 1533-position model. The record is from RNAcentral.